This 465-nucleotide ribosomal RNA is filed under the name uncultured bacterium. RNAcentral describes it as "partial 16S ribosomal RNA". It matches the Rfam family "Bacterial small subunit ribosomal RNA", at positions 28 to 507 of the family's 1533-position model. The record is from RNAcentral.
GACGAACGCUGGCGGCGUGCUUAACACAUGCAAGUCGAACGGAAAAGCCCUGCUUGCAGGGUACUCGAGUGGCGAACGGGUGAGUAACACGUGGGUGAUCUGCCCUGCACUUCGGGAUAAGCCUGGGAAACUGGGUCUAAUACCGGAUAGGAGCCAUUUUUAGUGUGAUGGUUGGAAAGUUUUUUCGGUGUAGGAUGAGCUCGCGGCCUAUCAGCUUGUUGGUGGGGUAAUGGCCUACCAAGGCGGCGACGGGUAGCCGGCCUGAGAGGGUGGACGGCCACAGUGGGACUGAGAUACGGCCCAGACUCCUACGGGAGGCAGCAGUGGGGAAUAUUGCACAAUGGGCGCAAGCCUGAUGCAGCGACGCCGCGUGGGGGAUGACGGCCUUCGGGUUGUAAACUCCUUUCGCUAGGGACGAAGCUUUUUGUGACGGUACCUAGAUAAGAAGCACCGGCUAACUACGUG